UCGAAGUGAUGAUGAUAAAAUGGUGAGUUUUUUUCUUGUAUAUCCCUAGACCAAUUGAAUGCAUGAUGUAGUUUAUCUAAUUAUCUAAAAAUCAACAUGUCUAAUAUAUGCCACAAGGUAUGCAUUAAUACUGAUUACCUGAACUUUCUGUGCUAGUGGCUGACCAUUUAGGUGUUGCUCACCAGAUUUGUUGCCAUACUAUUCUUAUUUAUUCCCCAAGCUACAUGUAGAAAUCCAAUGCUAUGAAUUGAAAUGUGUACAGAUACUUUAAAAAAAAAAAAAAAAGCAAUGUGAACAGAUAAAUGCAGAUGAGCAAGUGAAUGACUUGACCUAAUUCAGAUUAAGAGGACUGUUGGAACUGAUGGGCAUGGGUCAAAUGAGUUAUUUUUUUUAUUCUAUACUUCCUAACUUGAUCAAUUCAAAAAUUGUAUACACGGGGUAAAAUAUGGUAAUGGAUAAACUCAUACAGUAGACUUAAGGAAAUGGUGUCAACAAUUGAAAACCUGCAGGAUGUGUCAUAUAAGCGUUGAAAACCAGUUCUUGUUGUUAAUAUAUCAGCUUUGCAGGGGAUAUAUUAGCUUUACAGUUAUUGGCUUGCAUUGGCUGUUUUGUUUAGUGGCUGCUAUUACUAUGAUGCAGCAAUGAAUCUUAUAGGAUAGUGCAAUCAUUCUCUUUGUGAGCUUGAAUCUCAAGGACAUUGCAAUCAAGUAUGAAUUAAACAUGAUAUUUUUACCGAUUAAAAUUGUUCAUUCAUGCCAACAUUCUUGUUGCAGCAAAUUUUUUUCUACAUGAUGUUCUCAUAUUGGCCUGUUUAAUCUUCUUUUCUUUUUCCAAUUUUUAUAAUUGCCUAUUUGCAGGCUGAUUACCUAGCUUCAUUGAACCAUGAGGACACUAGACUAGCAGUUGCAUGUGAGAGGGCCUUCCUUGAAACCUUGGAUGGAUCAUGCCGCACUCCAAUUGCUGGGUAUGCUUGUAAAGGUGAGGACGGUGAUUGCAUAUUCAAAGGGCUGGUGGCUUCCCCAGAUGGAACCCA
RNAcentral lists this unclassified non-coding RNA (1033 nucleotides) under Hevea brasiliensis (rubber tree). The record is from RNAcentral. Lineage: Eukaryota; Viridiplantae; Streptophyta; Magnoliopsida; Malpighiales; Euphorbiaceae.